AUCAGCCAUGAUGUUGGCUAUUAAUUUCUCAGUAGUUUUUAUUUCUUGUAUCUCUUCUUCUUUGGGUUUCUUCUCUAAUUUUAUUUGUAUUUUGUGUAAGUGAGAUGUUUAACCAACUCCAAAAACACAGCAUUUUCCCGGAAGCUAGCUUGCAAUAAUGUAUUUAACUUCAUGUGAAUAAAAAUAGGGGGUAAAUGAACAAUCACAUACAUUUGUGUAAGGUGGUUUAUAAAGUAAAUUGAGCAAACCACUCCCAGCCAAAUAAAAUUGGGGUCAUUACGCAUGUUGUAUUGAAAAAGGAGUGGAAGCCAGAUUGUUAGAAGAACUCAGUGCUAUAAAGAGGAAUCAUACAUGGGGAGCUAGUUCCAUUACCAUCAGCCAAACACCCAGUUGAUCUCAAGUGGGUAUUUAAGCUCAAAUUGAAAUUUUGAUGGCAUAGUGGCAAAACACAAGGAAAGACGUGUGGCAAAAAGUUUUCUACAAAGAGAAUGAGUUGAUUUUCAUGAGGUAUAUGCUCCCGUAGCAAGAAUAGAGACUAUAAGGCUUGUCAUAGAAAUUGGCCUCUAAAGUAUAUUUUUGUAAUAGUAGACCAGAUAUUACCUUUAGAGUUGACUUGGUGAGUAGGUUUACGAGUGAUCCUAAGAUACCUCAUAUGAUUGCAACUAAGAGAAUCGUGAAAUAUCUAAAGGAAAUUCAAAGUUUUGGCUUGCUAUUCCCAAAAGCAAGAGGAAGAGGAGCUUAUGAACUUGAAACAUACUCAGAUUCUGAUUGGAGUGGGGAUCAGGUAAAGAUGAAGAGUACAUCAUGCUACUAGUUUUUAUUCUUGAAUGCUCAUAUAUCAUAGUAUUCGAAGAAACAAAGUAUAGUGGCACUCUCAUCUUGUGAAGCUGAAUAUGUGGCACAUCACAAGCAGGUUGGUUGAACUCAUUACUUUAAAAGCUAGAGUUUGAUUUCAAGAUACCAGUUGAAAAUUGACCACACUUCAUUCAUUAGUUUGGCAAAGAAUCUUGUUUAACAAAGCAAGAGUAAAAACAUCCAGACAAAAUAUUAUUUUUUUUAAGAGAUCGAGUCUCAAAAGAAAAACUUGAAGUUGUGCAAUGCAGCAUUGAAAGGGUGGCUUCUAAGGUGAAGAUGCAAUAAAGUCCAUCAUCGUUGUAACACAUUUUUUGACCUUUUGAUCAAAUAAGUCUAUAUCAUCUCAAAUAAGUCUAUAUAACCAUAUUAGAAAAUGCGGACAUUUUCUUUGGAGGUUGUUUAUAUAUGUGUUGGGAAUUAUGUCGCUAUUUUAUUCUUCCAAACAACUUUGAAAACAGAGAGGUUCUCAGAA
This is a non-coding RNA of Cicer arietinum (chickpea), 1327 nucleotides long. The record is from RefSeq and is a predicted model, not a curated record. Lineage: Eukaryota; Viridiplantae; Streptophyta; Magnoliopsida; Fabales; Fabaceae.